RNAcentral lists this ribosomal RNA (253 nucleotides) under uncultured prokaryote. Its description in RNAcentral is "partial 16S ribosomal RNA". It matches the Rfam family "Bacterial small subunit ribosomal RNA", at positions 525 to 777 of the family's 1533-position model. The record is from RNAcentral.
ACGAAGGGGGCUAGCGUUGUUCGGAAUUACUGGGCGUAAAGGGCGCGUAGGCGGCCUGUUUAGUCAGAAGUGAAAUCCCCGGGCUCAACCUGGGAAUGGCAGUGGAUACUGGAAAGCUGGAGUGCGGUAGAGGGUAGUGGAAUUCCCGGUGUAGCAGUGAAAUGCGUAGAGAUCGGGAGGAACACCAGUGGCGAAGGCGGCUACCUGGACCAGCACUGACACUGAGGCACGAAAGCGUGGGGAGCAAACAGGA